This is a long non-coding RNA of Grus americana (Whooping crane), 2516 nucleotides long. RefSeq lists it as uncharacterized. The record is from RefSeq and is a predicted model, not a curated record. The transcript is spliced from 2 exons. NCBI's taxonomy places the organism in Eukaryota, Metazoa, Chordata, Aves, Gruiformes, Gruidae.
CGGGGAUAACGGGGGGGUGGGGUGUGCAGAUAGGGUGUCUCGCGUGGAAAGGGGGGGGUGCGUGGGAAUGUCACCCGAGUCAUCGCCCUGCAGCGCAAACAUUAACUCGCCCAUCGCAUACGCUCAAAGAUGAGGACCCUCUGCCAAAAAUGCCUGACUUCUGCAAGAUGCACCAGUCCUGACGUGGGCAGGAUGGGGAAAAAACAAACCGUACCGCACAGGGGAUGCUUUCUGCAUCGAGAAGUACCUCUUCUCAUGGAACAACCUUUUCCCCAUCACAAGAAGAGGAUUUCUGGUAGGUGGAAGCCCAGACCUUGGCCGCCGGAGGUCCACAUUCAAUUUCUAUUCCUCAGACGUCCCGGGCAAGUGACUCUGCUUCUUUCUUGUGCAACUCCUUAGCUAUCAAAUAUUGCUGCUUCGCCCAGGCGUGUUGCAGGCAUUAACACAGCCAAGGAGGCAAGCCAGCCUCAGGCGGGCGGGAUGGGCGUGCUUGCUCACCGCUGCGCACGAUGGUAACCACUGGUUUCACAAUUAGAAGAGGCCUUGGCAGCACCAGGGCAGGAAGCAGCACCAGUGGCUGGAAGUGACUAAGCCCAGGGCUGGGGGUCGGGUGAGAGCAGCAGUUUCUGGUCAGGGCAGCCCGGCAUUGCCUGCAGAGGACAUCGUGGAAGGAGGUGACCUUGCAGGGAAGUGCAGGGGUGGCAUCUGGACCUCUUGCUGGCUGGGACGGCACUGGCAUCAACAGGACUUGCAUCCAAGUACAAGCCUGCCUGUGGAAACACAGCCUUGUGAGUAAAUAAGGUCUAGUACUCAGCACUCCAAGAAUGUGUGUAACUGCCCCUAACCAUCAUCUUCAUCCACGUCUGGAAGAUACUGAAUGUCUUCCUCUAGCAGCUCCAAGCACUUGCCCCCCAUGGUGCCUGCUGUGCCUGAACUGGUCAGCUUUAGCCCAGCAAAGCAAGCGAGACGGAGCUCACCUUCACCGGCAGCGUGACUUGUGGCUCACAGCACGCUGGGGCAGAUCCUCAGGCGGGGCACGGGGCACAGCUCGAAGGUACGGAGCCAGAUGCAGCGCAUCGCUGCGGGCCAAGCUGCAGAGGAGUAAACCAAGUACAAUACCUGCUGCUACGGCCGCAUUUCUGCCUUUCUUUCUGCUGCCGCUUCCCACGACCUGCGUACUGGCAUGCACGUCCCUGCAGGUUACGAGGCUGCAGCACGGUGCAGCGAGGAGCGCGCGGGCAGUUGUGCCAGCGUGUUCACUGGGACUCCGUUAGCCUCCAGGGCUCUGCUUGCGUGAUCAGUUCAGGUCUCUAAUAAUCCGUUCACAGGCUGCUGCCUCACACUCUGCGUGCGUUGCCGGUGGCACACAGAUCGUCGGGCUUGAUUUGCCGGUGUGUUUUAACCAGUGACCCCAGAGAUCCCCGCUCCCCCGGAGCAGCGCUUGCUGGGUGACCGGUGAGCUCUUCCCACCGCGCACAGAGCAGGGGGCUGCUCUGAACAGCUCUGCCAGACGUUGUGUCCCUGAGAAGGGCAUUCAUCCCGCUGAGAUAAACUGCAGCCCUUUCGACCCCUGUUCCAGGAGCUGGCUGUCACAGCCCUUGCUGGACCACAUCUGCACAGCUGUGUUUCUGUGAGGCACCCUGAGGGGACGGUGCCAGAGAGCUGGUACGAGGCACCGGGAACCUUUCCCCGGCUGAAAGCGAGCUGUACAGAGCGAUGCCACGCUGCUGCUCUGCGUUCCCCGCACGGUGUGUGUUCCUGUAACCAUGAACGUCAGAGAGCCUGGAGCUGCCAUGUUGUUGCGUUUAAGGAUGGCGAUGACUAACUUUUAGGUAUCGCCUUUCAGAACUCUUAAAAAUAGAAGUUAAGAACUUGCUUCACGUAAUCCUUACCACGUAAUACCUUCCUGACUGGGAAGAAGAGACCGGCCACACUAGCAACAGGACAUGAGUGUUUUGGAAAUUAACUCUGAUCCAGAGAGAAGCAUAAUUACAAGUUAUUUAUACAGAGCUUUUUUUCCUUCAUGGGCUGCACAAAAAGUGGAUCAACAGAAUGAUUCCCAUUUCACAGCAAAACAGCGGCAGGUUGCUCAGACAGCGGCAGAGCUGGAAGAGGAUCCGGAUCUCUGGAUCCUUCAGUUGAUUUCAGCCUACUUGAUUCCUUGUAAUAAAAGUCCGAUCAGUAAAAGCUAGUUCUGUCAUGGUAUUAAAGGCAAUUAGACAUACAGGAUUCAUCAUUUAUGUUUUCAAACAUUUAAAGCUCCCUACAGAAUGACUGCCUUCUGCCAGUUCUUCUUUAUAGGGAUGAGAAAAUCGUCCCUUCCCUGAUUUCUUGCAAACCAGCGUUUCCCAGCUGUGUGUAUCAUCAGUGAAUCGAAUAAAGACAAAUCUGGUCUCUCAUUUCCAGUUAAGGCUGUCAUGUUGUAUGGCACUCCGUAAUAUGUCAAGAAACCAAGGCAGCUGAUCUGGUGUGUCACUGCUGCAAAAGGAAAUUAAAACAAAUACAGAUUUAUGAAA